Molecule: small nuclear RNA, 142 nt
Organism: Leptonychotes weddellii (Weddell seal)
Lineage: Eukaryota; Metazoa; Chordata; Mammalia; Carnivora; Phocidae
Product: U4 spliceosomal RNA
Source: RefSeq, a predicted model, not a curated record
AGCUUUGCACAGUGGCAGUAUCGUAGCCAAUGAGGUUUAUCCGAGGCGUGGUUAUUGCUAAUUAUUUGUAUUUAUUGUGGUUAUCCCCAUUUGACAGAGUAGAUAUUUAACUUUUUGUUUAUUCUCUCUUUCUACACUAGAA